This 72-nucleotide transfer RNA is filed under the name Gekko chinensis (Gray's Chinese gecko). RNAcentral describes it as "tRNA-Leu". The record is from RNAcentral. Lineage: Eukaryota; Metazoa; Chordata; Lepidosauria; Squamata; Gekkonidae.
UCUUUUAAAGGAUAAUAGUGUUCCACUAGUCUUAGGCACUAACAACUCUUGGUGCAACUCCAAGUGAAAGUA